RNAcentral lists this ribosomal RNA (230 nucleotides) under uncultured Sphingomonadales bacterium. RNAcentral describes it as "partial 16S ribosomal RNA". It matches the Rfam family "Bacterial small subunit ribosomal RNA", at positions 87 to 334 of the family's 1533-position model. The record is from RNAcentral. Lineage: Bacteria; Pseudomonadati; Pseudomonadota; Alphaproteobacteria; Sphingomonadales.
GGUAGAUAGUGGCGCACGGGUGCGUAACGCGUGGGAAUCUGCCCUUGGGUUCGGAAUAACUUCUGGAAACGGAAGCUAAUACCGGAUGAUGACGUAAGUCCAAAGAUUUAUCGCCCAAGGAUGAGCCCGCGUAGGAUUAGCUAGUUGGUGAGGUAAAGGCUCACCAAGGCGACGAUCCUUAGCUGGUCUGAGAGGAUGAUCAGCCACACUGGGACUGAGACACGGCCCAG